Molecule: long non-coding RNA, 22096 nt
Filed under: Brassica napus (rape)
Lineage: Eukaryota; Viridiplantae; Streptophyta; Magnoliopsida; Brassicales; Brassicaceae
Description: long non-coding RNA (BNAP_LNC019749)
Source: RNAcentral
UAGGAAUAGAAAUGUAACACGCUAGCCUAAUAGAACGUUACCUAGUAGUAAUAGUAAUAUUUAUACUCGAUCAUCUUCAGUAUUCAGUGAUUUUUUUUUUUUUUUUGUCGUCUAUUAUUAAUAUUAUUCAAACUGAAAGUAUAAACAAAAACCCAACAUAAAGCAAACUGAUAAUACAAUAAGGCCUAAAACAAACAGGCCGAGGCAAAAGAAAGCCCAAAGUAAGUCGGUGAACAAAUCAAGAAGGCUCUACCACGUGUUGAACUCAGACCCUAAAGAGAACACAUGUUUGCCAAUACGUCACCCAACUUCACCGCGUUGAAAGUCGUCGCCGGAAAGCUUGAUCGAACUUCCACCGGAACACACCGGAGACAGGAAGCGAGGAUUGGAGCCACCACGAUAACUCGAUCUAAAUGAAAGAGCCCAAAGAGAGAAAGACCAUCGCUUCAUAAGAUUGGAGAGAAAACCAGAUUCAAAUGAAUCCAAGACGAUCUCAACACCGAGAAAGCUUCAAUUCCAGAACAUGCAACCACAGUCAUCUUUAUAAAUCCAAAUAAGCUUGAAGAUGACUAAACCAUCUCAGAUGGAAAGGAAGAAGCUUUUCGAUAUAAAGAACAAAACUCAAUUAAAUCUGAACGAUGAUCGAGAAGGAACAAAAAAAUAAAAAUUACAAACGAAACUAGACAAAACUGGUAAAAAACUAAGAAGAAUCAUCAGAAUCCCAAUGAUCCGUAAGAAGCCAGCAGAGACAGCGCUGAAGGAGCCGCCAUUCACGGGAGAUAAAGCCCGACACACGGGAAGCAAAGGCCAGCCAAGACGGUGCUGUGAGAGCCACCGCUUGCCGGAGUCAAGCCCGAUACACGGGCAACGAGAUCACCGGAAAGGAUCCGGCAUCGAACGAAACUUGACUCCCUCUCUCUGAAAGAUUUGAGAGAGAUAAGAGAGAGAGAGUACAGGUUUCAGGUAGAAAUGUGUAAACUAUCAACCAGUAUUCAGUGAUAUCUAAGGAGAAGAUGAUAAAGAUUAUAAAAAAUGUAAAAACAAUAAAAUACAUGUCUUAAAAUAUACAUAUUUGGUUACCCUCACAUUAUCGGCUUUAUUCACCUGCAAAAUAAAUAUGGUCAUUUCCUCUGUUCUAGUAACAUACAAAUAAUUACACCAAAACUAUCUUUAUUUGGGCUUAAUUACACCAAAUAAUAAGGCCCUGUGGUAUCACUUUUAUGAUAUAAUGAAAAAUCCAAGCUGGCUGGUUUGAUUGAAGUCUUUUUGAUAACAAGAAAGCACUUGGAGCUUAAAAUAUUUCCGAAUAUUUCAAGAAUAGUAUAAUACCAUAAAACACAAUUCCAAUUUUUAUUUCUUAUUUGAUAAUUACAAGAAACAUCCGCUAAGUGUUAGAAAACAUGUCAGUGUAUCGAGCAAUUCUGAAUGUAAGAGUUGUUCAAUUCCUCUGAUAUACUUUUCAUAACUUUAAAACCAAGUAAAGAGUAAGGUUAAUACCUGGAGCGCCCAGUCACUUUCGUUUACAGGGAGACUACUUCUGGUGAACAGGGUCAUUGCAGGUAUCACGAACUUCUGGUGCGCCACAUUUGUUAUUCCGAAAGCCUGCAUUAAGAAAAUCAAUGCAAUAUGCGGAGCCUAUCUUUGGAAAGGAAAAGCAGAUGGAAAUCAACGCAAAUGGCAACUGGAAUAUCAGAUCACCGAGAACGGACAAUCAGGUUAUAUUCCAGACUUAUCUCAAAAGAAUCUAUCUUACUGAAGAAGAAGACACUUACGAAUGGGAGGUAGACGGGGUGGUCUGGAAAGAUUACAGCACCAGUGCUAUAUACAAACAGCUGAAGCAUCACGCUCCUCUGGUGCCUUGGUUUGAUAUUAUCUGGUGUAAAGGUGGAAUUCCUAAACACAACUUCCUCUCUUGGCUCUUUGUUCUUAACAAAUGUCCAACUAGAGACCGAUUACUCAAUUGGGGGCUCACUACGGAUCCUGCUUGUUUACUCUGCAAUGCUGCGUCGGAAUCGCGCGAUCACCUCUUCUUCUUAUGUACUUAUAGUUGGGAAAUUUGGUCAGCAACUGCAACUAGAUGUCAAGGCAACACACCAAGAGAUUAUCAGAGCACCAUAUAUUACCUCAUCAACUUGCGUCUACCAAAGCCUUACAAAAAACUUCUUCUGAUUGCUUGGCAAUGUGUGAUUUAUCUGUUGUGGACAGAACGCAACUCAAGAUUACAUAGAAGAAGCUUCAGGUCUCCGCAAUCACUGCUCUAGUCUGCGAUCUCAGAACCCAGCUACUUCUUCAUCCAUGAUUCAAUUGUGGUUUCGAUGAUCGGGUUGAUCUCCGUCAACUGCAUGACUCCUCUCUGGCUCCUUCACAUUAUCAUUUCGGUUGGGCUUCUAAUUAUUAGGUUUAAAACUAAGUUGGGUUAUUGUAUUUUUUUUUUCAUGCAUUUUAAUAGAAAGCUUUUUUCAAAAAAAAAAAAAAAGACAACUCAUAGCUGGCCCGGUCGUCUUCGGAAUGAAGCUUAUAUAACAAACAUUAACGUAUCAUAGUUUUAACUUUUAACUUAUUGAAUUAGGCUCAGUAAGGUUUUUAUUACACCACUAAACAAAAGCACCUAUGACUGGGCUCAGUAAGGCCCAUUGUAUUGGUUCGUAAAAUCGAUGAUGUCCAUUGUAUUAACUUCAUCUCGAUAACCCAUUUAAAAGAAAAAAAAAACAACUGCAGCUAGGGGGGUUUUUAAAAGAAUGUAAACUUAGAGAUAAAAAGUUUAAGCCAAUUUUUUGGGGUUAUACGUGAAAGCAUUACAUAGAAACUAAAACCGUUAAUGGCUCAAUUACAAUUAGUCGACAUGAUCUAUUUUUAUUUACCUGCAACAGACAAAUGUUUCGUAUUGCCCUAUUUAUUUACGACUAAAUACAAGUACUAGCAGACUGUCACAACAUAUACGCCGAAAUUACAAAAGCAAAUAAAGGGACGUACAUAGGCAGGCACUAACCGGGAAAAUCGUACCGAAUAAAACAAAAAACAAUGGAAUACGGAAAAAACGUAUGUGGACGGUCCAUAACAUCAUCAUAGACCAUACCAUACACCAUUCAUCAUCAUAAUAAAACCCAUUAAACCGAGUGGGUAUAAAUAGAAACGAAAGGUUCUUCCUUUCUCAAGGUCUCGUCUUCCUCCGACUCUGUCUCCACUCUCCAACAACUUCCUUCUCUCCCACUACUAACCGAGUCACCAUGGCCAAGGUAACUCACUCAAACCGCGCUAUCAAGAAUCUUCUAUUCUUGUUAUCGGAUUUUGUUUUCUCUCUCUCUGAGUUUAAUAACGGGUUUGAUUUGCUCUCUCUCUCUCUCUCUCUCUGUUUUGUCUCUAAGCAGAAGAAGAAGAGCAACAACGAGAACAAAGGAGAUGGUGGCGGCGAUAAGAAAACGGCGUCUAUAACCGUCGUUUUGAAGGUCGAUAUGCAUUGCGACGGCUGCGCUUCCAAAAUCGUCAAAUGCGCACGUGCUUUCAAAGGUUUGUUUUUUCCUCUUUAAAAGCCACAAAGCUAAUGUUUUCACUGUAAAAAGUAACAUUAAUGUCUCUCUUCUCAGGAGUUGAGACGGUGAAAUCAGAGUCAGAUACUGGGAAGCUAACGGUGACCGGAGAAGUAGAUCCGGCGAAACUCCGGGAGACACUCGCAGAGAAGACAAAGAAGAAAGUCGACUUGGUUUCUCCUCAGCCCAAAAAGGACAAUAAGAACAAAAGCGAUGAAGACAAAAACAAAGAAAAGAAAUCAUCUGAGGAGAAGAAACCCAAAGAGGUAAAGCUUCGACCUUUUACUAUAUCGUUUUAUCAGUUUGUAUUAUAGAAUCUGAUUCUGAGUGUUGUUGAUAUGUUAUUUAUUUACAUUUAUUAUUAUGUUCUCAGGCUCCGGUGAUAACGGCGGUGUUGAAGCUGAACUUCCAUUGUCAAGGUUGUAUCGCUAACAUCCAGAAGACUGUCACUAAAACCAAAGGUUUGCGACACAAGACGUUUUUUUGUUCAAAACGCUAUUUUUGCAAAACGCUCACAUUUGUUUGUUUGUUUUUUUUUUGAAAAAAGGCUUUCUAUUUAAAUUGUUUGUUUUUGUUUGUUUGUUGGAAUCGUUUAGGUGUGAAUGGGAUGACAAUGGACAAAGAGAAGCAGUUGGUGACGGUUAAAGGAACAAUGGAUGUGAAAAAGCUCGUGGAGAGUUUGUCGGAGAAGCUGAAACGUCCGGUGGAGAUUGUGCCGCCGAAGAAGGAUAAAGACAAAGAGAACGAGUCUGGCGACAAGAAGAAAGGCGGCGGGGGAAAGGAUAACAAAGGCGGCGAGGGGGUGAACAUGAUGGAGUACGUGGCGGCUCAGCCUUAUCACGAGUUAGCGUAUUACCCGGGUGGGCCAUAUGGGUAUUAUCCGGUUCAGGCCCACGCGCCUCAGAUGUUCAGUGAUGAGAAUCCGAAUGCUUGCGUCGUUAUGUGAGGCGGCGGAUGAAAAUAUUGGAGAGUGGUGGGGAGUUUUUUUUGAAAAGACUUUCAUUAAUUUAAACGCAGAAAAAUAGAAAAAGGUUCAGAAGCCCAUAUGAUCUUCAGUUACAAAACAAGACCCAGUUAAUAAAAACAAAAUAUUGCCCAUAGUUAAGAAACCCAUUGCAGUUUAGCCCAAAACGGAUUUGGAAACGUUUGAUGAGAAAUAACGAGACGGAGAAUGGAGCAAUCAAGCGGAGACGAUGGUAGGAUCACAAGCAAGAAACCAUAAUUGGAGGAGCUGUGAACAAGUUGUUGGGUUGACUUCCCGGAGACUGUUGAUGCGGUCUUUAAUUUGACAAUCAACAAGACGGAGCAACACGUCAGGAGAUCGGAAAGUGUGUCGAUGAAGUCUAGAAUUUCUUUCAGCCCAAACCCAGUAGAUGAUCGCUUGCCAGGCUAGCAGGAGAAGACGACGCCGGAAUCUGUUACCAGAGAGUGUGUGCAUCUGACUUAGUGAGCGAUCCCAUGUCCUCAAAGGAUUCAAAGUGAAUCUUGUGGCCAUAGUUGACCAUAGUUCCCACGAGUAAGGGCAAUCAAAAUAGAGGUGAUCUCGACUCUCUGGAUGAAGACCACAGAGAAGACAGUUAGUAUCAGUUUGCAAACCCCAGGACUGGAGACGAUUGCGAGUUGGGCAGCGGUUCAGAACCACCAGCCACACCAUAAAACAAUGCUUAGGAAUGCCUCCUUUAAUCCACACUGCUUUAGUCCAAGGUAUAUGAGUAUAGUCUCCUCUCAGUUUUUGAUAAACUAGCCCAGUAGUGUAUUUUGCGCUAACUAUUCUAUCAAUUUCCCAAACGUAGAAGUCAUCAGCAGUAGAUAUUGUCAGGCCAGAGAGGAAAGCAAGAAUGCUUACUUGAUUUUCAGACCUUGCCGGUGGCAGAAGCCAGUGACCAUUGUCAUACAAGCUUGCGAUGGUUGCAUCUUGUCUUAUACCAAGCCUAGUUCUUCUACCUCCUGUCAUGAGUUCACAAAUCUUUCCUUCCGGGUACCAGUUAUCUGUCCAGAAUCUGCAGUCUCUGCCACUCUCAAUCUUAAGUUUAAUCCAGGUAAACAUUACAUCUCUCAUUUUGAUUAACUUAUUAGUUAGCCAAGAGUACUUUCUAUUAGGCUUAACUGUCCAGAAGUUGCUCAGAUUCCCUGACAGGAUUUCCGUCUUGAACCACGCCACCCAAACUGAACCCGAUUGAAAGAACAACAGCCAAAUAAGCUUCAACGUGCAAGCUCUGUUCCAGGUAUACAAAUCCUUGACUCCUAGUCCUCCUUGACUCUUUUCUUUAGUUACUGUUUCCCAUGAAACUCGCGCAGUAUGAUGACCCUCCACAUCUCCUUUCCAUAGGAAAAUACCACAAAGAGAGUUGAUUCUCUUGAUCACCGACUUUGGCAAUAUAAACGAGGAACACCAGAAGGUGUUGAUUCCUGAUAUCACGGUCUUGAUAAGGAGUAGACGUCCAGCAAAAGAGAGGGAUUUAGCGCUCCAGGAGGAAAGACGUCUUUUAAUCUGCUGAAUGAGUACUUCACAGUGAGAGAGAGUAGGCUUUGAAGAGGAUAGAGGUACACCAAGAUAUCUCACUGGGAGAGAGGCAAUUGGCAUUCCAGUAGAAACCUGAAUAGCAUCUAUUUCCGCUUGGGAUAAACCUGAUGCAAAGAAACUUGACUUUUGAACACUAACAGCCAGUCCGGAGCGCAAUUCAAACUCUUUAAGGAUCUGAAGCACUGCCUGAAGAGAAGAGAUGGACCCGUCAAUGAAGAUGAGAAGGUCAUCUGCAAAACUCAAGUGAGAAGAUGAGUGGUGGGGAGUUGUAAAUAUGCUUAUAAUCUCUGGGGUAGUUUCAAAGUCGAGUUACUUUAGUUUGUAAACUUUUUUGGGUUUUUAAUUUCUACUAUUCAGUUCUCAAAACUUCCUUUUCUAUAUGAGCAUUUUUAGUUUUUAGAGACAAUUGACUGAAUAUACCCAGUUCACCAAGAAAUUAAGAAACUAUUCUAAAGCAAGAAAAAUUCAUGUCCACUGUAGAUAUUUUUGUCAUAUUUUUCCGUUUUACCCUUGCCCUAAUUUUUUAUAUAUUUCUCUUUUUUGCCCUAAAUUUUGAUUAUAUAUAUUAUAUUAAUUGUUAACUGCUAGGAUAAUAUUAGUUGAAUAGAUAAUGAUUAAGUUAACAUGUUAACAUAAUUUAUAACUUCUAAUAGAAUAUAUAUAUUAGUUAACGAUUGCUACUUUAACCAUUUUACCAAACAAUGUAAAAAGCGAUAACAUAUUUUGUAACAGUUAACCAAACAUGUUUCAGCUAAUCAUAAUAUAGUAAACUAUUAUGUGACUUGUUUUAACCUACUAACUUAUUUCAUAGCAUCUAACAAACUAUUUAUCAGCCAAAACAAACUAUUUUUUUUUUUAAAUUACAAACUGUUUUAAAAGGCUGUUAACAUGUUUUAUAACACCUAAAUAAACAUUUAUCAGCUAAUGAUAAUAUAUUUUGUGAAAAAAUCGGCAUCCACCGGUUUAGUAACAACUAACCAAACAUGCAUAUACUCACAAUAUUUGAUUUGUAGCAUGUAAUCAAACAAUUAUCCGUUAACUUAAUAAAUAUCGACUACAAGCACAAUAACUUAAAUGUUAGAUUCAGGUUUCAUCAAUGUUGGAAAAUUUCUAUAUUUCUUGAUUAUACAAACCAUCAAUACAACCAUGAGCUCUUACCAGCGAAUGAAUCGAAGAGAUCUCACAUGUAUAUUAAACAAAAUUUCUUAGACAUUCAUAUCACGGACAGAUUGAGUAAAAGAAUAGAGAUGACAUAUACAAAACUCAUGUGAGGAUAGUACUCAUUAGAUUCAUACUCUGUAUUAAUUGAAAUAUACGUACCCGUUGCUGAUUCACAUCAUUGGAAACAGAAAAGAUAAGGAAAAAAACAUUUGUAGAUUAAUAGGAAAAAAAUUGUGUUUGGUGAUUUUAAAAAUAAACAAGAGAGAGAAAAGUAAGAAGAUUGUUCUAGGCAUAAGAUAGUAAGAAGACACAAGAGAGAGAAUGGUUCAGAUAGUUGGAGCAGGGGUAAUUUUGUAUUAUAAAGAUAUCAACAGUGUCAAAAUUAGUCCUAGGGUAUUUUGCAAAUAUUGUUUUUUUUUGUGUAUAUGGAUCUAGUUUUUAAGUUUAAAAAAAUUUCGUUGACAAAAAAAAGUUAAAAAAAUUCUCCCGGUUAAUUUUUUUUGUUACUUCGUUAGUCUUGUUUAAAUUAAGCAGUAAUAUAAUAAUUGAAAAAUUGCCGAAACGGAACAAAAAUUUAGCAUGGUUGUCUCUUUUAGUAUAAAACCAAUUUUGUCUUUCUUUUACCUUAUUUCUUUCUAAAAUUUAAUGAAAUAAAUAGUUUUAUGAAUCAAAAAAUUUAUUAAAAAUAUAAACAAUUAAUAAAACACGGAUAUACACAACACAUAUAUUUUUUUGGUUGAAAAACUUGAUAAAUAAAAUUUUUAAAUUUUGUUCUACUAAAAAUAUAAUUCUUCUUCUACGGAAAAUGAGUUAGUAGAAAACGAAUUUCAGAAUAAACAAGUCCAUCUACUUUUUUUAGAAAGAAAAAUCUACUUUUAAUUAAAGUUCUAAAUAUGGGGAAUGCGAAUUAUACUAAUUGUAAAAAUAUCUUAUUUUCUCUCAAAUGCAGUUUCUAGUUUUAUGAAGUAUUCUAAAAUUUCGGGAAUGUGAAAUCUAAAUACAACACGUACGUCUACAUGAGGUAGAAAUUGCAUUCAAGAUCUUUGUCAUGGUUCUACUCAUUGUAGAAUGUGCCUUCUACGAAUAAGAAAAUCUGUUUUUCGAAAAUUAAGGAAUUUCUGUUAAGAAAAUAUUUUAAAAAUAUUCCAACUUCCUAAAACGUGUUUUGAUCGAUUUGUUUUGCCAAUAUAAAAAAAAAUGAUUUUUCCUUUUAUUCUUCAUCAAUCUAUGAUUUUCUCGUAGUUUGUCUUGUUAUUUUCAUACUCUUGUUCUAUGAUGCAUAUUUAUACAACGUGUGGUGUUUGAGAAUUUGGUGCAACCGCGAGAUAAGUUUUUUUGGCUGAUAAUAAAGAGGUAUGCUAAUGUUAUUGGAAUCGAGUGCUACGUUAGAACGAAUUACUACAUAUUAUCCAAAAUGCAGAAUGUGGAUUAUUUGAUUGUCUUUGAUAUAUGUAAAAGCUAAAACCAAUGUAAAAGUUAAACAGUUGAAUGGUGGAAAUACAUGAAUGAUGACAAAAGAAAACAUGUUGCUUCAAGUUACAAAAAAAAAACAUGUUGCAAAAAAAAAAGUUAAUUCAGCUUCUUCUUUUUUUUUUGUAAAAUAAGUUAAUUCAACUUUGUCUUCGUAAAACACUAAAAUCGGAAACGAUAAUUUGUUGGAGCUUUUUAACUCGAUAAUGAAAGGUGAGAUGCUGACAAUGCGAAUGAGAACUAGUCAUAUUAUAUAUUAAAAAUCGAUUAACAUAUUACUAUUUGGGUCUUGUAUUUUAUUAUUUUGCGAUCCUAAAAACAUUGCGGGAAUAUUUCUCAAACUAACCAACGGUUGUGUUACAUUGUAUGUUUUAGACCUCUACUACAUGAUAUAACAAUAACUAUUUAGCAAUUAGAAGAAAAGUUAUAAACAGCGUCCAGGGCCGGCCCUGGGCCAAGCCCAAUGAAACAUUCGCCUUGAGCCCCCAAAAAUUUUGAAUUUUUUUAUAUGUAAAUAGACCCCCAAUUUGUAAAAAAAAAAUUUUUAGGCCCCCAAAUUUUUGAAACCUUUACUAAAUGGUCUUGGACCUCCAAACUCUCGGGGCCGGCCCUGACAGCGUCACAAUUAGUCAUCAAUUCAUUUGGUUCCCCUGCAUCGAUCACCAAUUCAAUUUAAUUAGACAAAUGGUUAGAGAAUCUCCAAAAGACACUUUAUAAUUCAAAUCUGAAGUUUUUUUCUCUAAAAAAAAUCAAAACUUCAAAUUUGAAAUUUUAAAAAAUAAAACUGUAUAUUGAAGUUUCACUGUUCAAAAUUUCAAAUUUGAAGUUCCAUAUUUUUGUUUGCAUUUUGGUCCUUACAAUCACAUAUCACAUUUAUGAUUUUUAAAUAUUUUAUCAUUUAUCGUUUUAAUUCCUAAUUUUUUUAUAUAAAUUUAAGUUUUACCCAUAAAAUUAAAAAAAAAUUAAAGUAAAAUUUAAAAUAUUUUAGAACUAGAUUUAGACAACAACAAUAUACAAAGAAACUUAACAAAAAAAAUCUUUUAAAAAAUUUACAUUAAGACAUAACUAUUACACGAAAUUAAAUAUUACAACAACACUAAUAAUUAGGUAAAUAUGAUCUGGAACCUCCAAAAUAUUGUCCAAACAAAUUUUGUGUAACUGAAGAUGGUUGUUGUUGUUGUUUUUGAUGUCUUUUUUCGUACGAUUCUUUCUUGUUCAGAUCUAAUGUGUUCACAAAUAUUAAUAUCAUCAAUAAAAUUUAAGUCUUUUAGAAAUAUUUUAUUUUUCUCUUUUACUCUUUUGUUGAAAUCUAAUGUAUUUACAAGUAUUAAUAUUACCCGAUUUCAACAAUUUUUAGCUCGUAAUCUACAUAUUUAAUUUUAUAUUUUAAUAUAGCACUACAUUAAUUAAUUUUUUGUGAUAUUUUUAUAUAUAGAUUAGUUAUUUACAAUUUUUUAUGAAUUGAAAUUAAUUAUGACAAAAAUAAAGACCAUAAUAUAAAAUAUAAAUAAUUUUGAAACUAAGUUUGAAAUUUUUCUUUUGAAAAGGAAUAUUUGAAAACUUCAAAUACAUAAUUUUGAAAACUUCAGAAUUGAAUGUAAUUUUGGAGAUGUUCUUAAUAAAAGAAAACUUAAUUAGACAAUUGCAUGUAUUUUAGUAUAAAAAACCAAGCUUUUUUUUUUACAACUUGUUAAGUUUAAUUUUCGCCGAUAAGACUAGUUAUCGAGGUUUUUAUUUUGGGAAACUGCCACAAAUACCACAUUCAUAUUACAACUUUUCAUUUGUACACUAAUCACUUUUACAAUCACUUUUAAUGAAGAGUAAAAAACACUUAUAUCCUAGGGUUAACUAAUCUAGACUUACGGUUUAAAAUUGAGGGGUAUGGUUUUUGGAAUGUGAAAUUUAGGAUUAUAAUAAAUAUAUAAAUAAAUACUUAAAAAUACAAAAUAAAUUUCAAAAAAAAAGUGAAUUUUUUUUAUAAAAAAAUCGAAUUUGAAAAUGUAUAAUUCGAAAACAUACAAUUUUUUUUAUUUAAAUAAUAAUUUAUUAUAUAUAUAGAGAAUAAUGAUAUAAGAAUCUUUUGCCACUUAAUGAAGAAUGCAUUUUUGAAAAUAUCUCUUUAGUGGUGGUAAAGAUGAAAAGUGGUACCAUGAAAGUGGUAAACAAGAAAUUUUUCUUUUUAUUUUAUCAAAAAAAUAAAAGUAAUGACGACAACAAAUUAUUAAAAUUUAAUGAACAGUGGUAAAUACUGAGUCAAAAGUACAUAAUAAAUGCAUAAUUUAACAACCAUUAUACUGAGUAAUAAAUUAGCUAACGUAGUUCCUUCAAUUUCAAAUUUUAUAUUAUGGUUUUGAAAGCCCCACCCCCACACCCUCUAUUUUUCGUCUACUGGUUCCUGAUUACAUAUGUUUUGUUGAUAUAAAGAUCAUUACAUAAAAACUUAUAAAUCAAGUAAUACUUUUUUUUUUGUUAAAAUAAUAUAGUUUUAAUGGUGUUGGUAUAAAUUUAUAUCUCAAACUGAACUAGUACAGCAGGUCCUUUAUAUUAUAUUAUAAUUUUCAAUAUUUAUAUUUAGACUGCUAUUUUUAUAUAUGAAACCACGGGGAGAUAAUGUAUGAAUCGAACCAUUGUCUACUUGAAAACAAAAAGGCAAAAACAAACACAACCUAAUAUUGGAUCUAAGACUGUUUUAUAACUUCAAGAUUUCCAAGAGAAACAAAAUAUAUUUCCGUUCAGUUCCUAUUAAUAUCGAAAUUAUACUAAACCAAUUAUCAGGAACUGAAACCCUAUUUGUUUAUUAGUAGAUUUAGCUAAGGCAUGCACGUACAUGGUAGUUACGUACUUUGGGUACAGAUUCAUGCUAGUCUUUGUAAAGUUACAGUUUGGUUUUGUUUGGUAAUUACUUAAUGACAAAUGAAAAGCAAAAUGAAUUAGUAUUGAUUUGGUCAAAAGCUAAUUAAUCUACAUGCUAGCGAAUCUAAUAGGUAAGUUAACAUGUAGUGAAUGCCAACCCAUGACAUCAAUGCUCGCAUUACUACUUACUUCCUUUCACUUCUGGGUGGGCAAAAAAACCGAACCGAACCGAUCGAACCGAACCGACCGAACCGAAACCGAUUCGAACCAAACCAAAGUCCAUUUCAAAUCAUUCGGUUGAAGAUUUUCCCAACUCGAACGGUUCAGUUCAGUUCGGUUUAAACCGAACCGAACCGAUAAACCGAAGUGUUUUUAUAGUUAUUUAAAUUAAAAAUAUUAGUAAUAUCAAGAUAUUAAAAUCCUAAGAUUAAGCCCACGUAAUUUUCUUUUGCACGAAAGAAAUCCUAAUAUAAUUUGAUUUCCAUGACACUUCGUCUAACUUUUGUAAUAUUCGUCAUUAAGCCCACAUAAUUUCCAUGUUAAUUUUUUUUCAAUAGCGUAUACUUUUAAACCCUAAAAUUAAAAGCUAAACCAAGUCUAAUUAAAAACAAAAGUUCUCCGCAACGUCUCUUUUCUGCGUCUCCUACUCUCCUUCCUGCCUAUUUUUCUUUUUGGUGGUGUCAAUUCUAAUAACUUCAGGUGAGAUUUUUAAUAUCAAAUUCUAAGAAUUUGUUACAUAUACUUAUACAACUGAAAAGUGAAAACAUCAAACUAUUCUUUUAGCUUAUGUAUUACAUAUAUUUAUUAUGACCAACGCGAUUAUUUCAUGACAACCAUACAUUUAUGUAUUAAAACAUGAUUUCUUGUACAAUAAAUAAACUAAAAGAAAUUUGAUUAAACCGAACCGAACCGAAAUACAAACCGAAUCGAAUACAAACCAAACCGAAUAUAAACCGAACCGAACAUAACCGAACCAUAAUCGAUCCAAACCAAACUAACUAUGGUUUACUUCAGCUGGAAAAAUUCUAGAACCGAACUAACCAAACCGAACCGAACUCGAACUGAACCAAUAAAAUAACCGAAGUGCCCACCCCUACUUUCACUCUUUAUGGUAACGUAAAAAGCAAAAUUUAUUUAUUUAUUUCUGUAGAAAACAGUCACUAAUAAGAAAUUAAAAUUAACAUCAACUAGGUGGUUGUCCCAGAUUUUGCGAAUAUAAAUAUUUUAUGAAAACUAUAUAUUAUGUUUAUAAUUUUAUAAUUUUGAAUAAUAAUCAUAACUAUUAAAAAUAACCUUUUUAUUUUAAGUAGUUUGAAAAUCAAAAGUCUUGGUAUUGUAUAAUCUUAGAAGAUUAUUGAGAUAUAUUGUUAAUUCUAUAAAUUUUAUUAUAAGUUUUCAAAAAGUGUUCUUAUGACAUAAUUUUUGAUUAAUAAAAAAAUCCAAAGAUUAAUGAACAAAAAGUUAUUUUAUAACACUUUCUAUUUUUUCAUUAUUUUGUCUACCGAUUUAUUUUAUUUAGAAGUAAAAUAGUUACAAAUAAUUAAUUAACAGUUAUAUUAAUACGUAAAACACAAGUAUUUCGGCAAACAUAUAAAAAACUAAGUACAUAAAAGUAUAAAAUAACAACGAAUACAACUAAGAAUACAACAAACAAGUUUUAUUAUUCUUCACUGAUGUUUUAUAUAUGUAUCUUCUUUUUUUUUGCCUAUUGCAAAAUAAGCAUGUUAAUUUUAUCAAUAGAGUCUUAACUCUAGUCUUGUAUUAAUAUAUUGUUCUCGUUUUUUAAUUUAUAUUAUAAUAAACUUUUUCAUUGACUAAUAUUAUUUUAAAGAAUUUACCAUAUAGUUUUAUUAUAAUCAAGACUAUAAGAAUUAUAUUAAUAGAGUAUAUUAACUUUAGUCUCGUGUUAGUAUAAUGUUCAAAAAUUUCAAUUUUAUAUUAUAAUCAAUAUUUUCAUUUAUUAAUAUUAUUUUAAAAGACUUACUAUAUAUUUUUAUGUUUUUAAAUAUACAAAUAUUUAAUCAUUUCUGAAAGUAAUAACUCAACUAUACAAUCAACAUUUGUCAAUGAAAAAUGACUGAAUAAUUUUAAAAUUGUAUAUUUGAUUGUUUUACAUUCAUUGGACAUAUUUUAGAAAAUAUAUAUUGAGUAUAACAAAAUAUUAUUAGGUUUAGGUUAAUUAGUAUAACACAUUGUAGAAAAAAUGUAUAUAGUGAGUAUAUAAUUUAUUGUAUCCACUAUUAAUAUAAAUAUGUUAAAAUCGUUUAUAUAAUUGUUUCUAUCAUACCAUAUGUAUUUAUAUAUGUAUAUUUUAAAUUUCUAUAACGUAAUCUAUGAUAUUUAAUUGUUUCUAUAAAAAAAUUAUGUUAAUUCUUCUAUAUUUAAAAUGUUUAAAUAUUUGUACGGUAAUAUAGAUUAGAUUAGGUAGUUCUAGAAUUAGUUUCCUUUUAAAAACUUUAAUUAAAUAAAUGAAAAUUCAAAUACCAACAACAAAUCAAAUUAAAAGAAUUAAUUCUAAAUUUCACCUAUGAAUGACACCUAAGCAAAAAUCAAUUAAAUGACUUCUCAAUUAAAAAAUAGUAUUAGGUUUAAGUUAAUUAGUUUUCUGUAAUCUAUAAUUUAUUGUAUCCACUAUUAAUAUAAUAUGUUAAAAUCGUUUAUAUAAUUAUUUAUAUCAUACAAUAUGUAUUUAUAUAUAUUUUUUAAAUUUAUAUAAUGUAAUCUAUGAUAUUUAAUUAUUUUUAUAAAUAUAUUAUGUUAAUUCUUACAUCCUUAAAAUGUUUAAUUGGUUGUAUGGUAAUAUAUAUUAGAUUAGGUAGUUCUAGGAUUAGUUUCAUUUUUAAAACUUUAACUAAAUAAAUGAAAAUUCUAAUACCAACAGCCAAUCAAAUUAAGAGAACUAAUUCUAAACUUCACAUAUGAAUGACACCUAAGCAAAAGUCAUUUUUUUUUAACGCUGAUUUAUUAUGAUCUUACAAUUAUGAUAUGAGAAAGAUUACAUAGACGAUUCGACAACCGACAAUACUACAUGCCUUAUGAAGAUCUACGCCUAACUGCAUCACCUGAGCUAUGAAGAUCUACACCAGACCAGAAUUAUUUGCACCAUGUUGAAGAUUCCUUGUAAGCUUUUCUUUCGUAGUCUGCAUAAUUAUUUAAUAAAUCGUUCUCUCCGGGACUUGAAACCUGAAUUUCCUGUAAUCUGUAAUAAAUUGCAUAGUCUGGGAUUCGAACCACAGACUUAGGUGUAGAAGCCUUUAAAUUUUAACCAUUAGGCUACAGUGUUUCCACGGCAAAAGUCAAUUAAGUGAUUUCUCAAUUAAUAUACCGUAGAAUAUAGUCGUCGUAUUCAUGUUUUAAUUGUGCAUGUGCGUGCGUUUGACACGACAUAUCAUUCAAUAUUAAUCCACAUCGUUGUACAUGCAUGAACAUGUGUUGAGAAUUUGGGAUCAUCAUGAUUAUCAUCAUCAUGCAUGUCGUUCAUGGUGAUCAUCAUCAUUAUACAUGAUAGUUUUGGAGUUUCCAUCUUUCUUCUACGAAAGUUCCAUUCGAGCUCGAGGAAACUAAAGGAUUUAAAAAUAAAUAACAUAAAAGUAACUACAAACUUCUCAACACGCUUAUAAAUUUCAGCCUUUUAUAUAUCCAUUUUCUUAUCAGAAAAUAUAAUUGAAAUUAUUUUGUAAAACCUUUUUCUCUUUAUAAAAAGUUUUAUCAUAUUUUACCAUAGUGUUCCAAAUGAUUGUCGAAAAGCUCAAUUUGUAGUCCAAAGUACCUUUCAACUUUUUUUUUCAUCAUACUCUAAACUAACAAUUGAAGGGGAGACUUAAUUUAAUCAACUGCUGGUUGACAAUAAAUCAGUAGUGGUUCAAUGCUAUACUUCGGGUGGUGAAUAAUAUAUUUGCAAAUCUAAGCCAGAAAACGAGUCAUACGAUCUUGAAAUUUCCCUUUCAAGUGAUUUAUCUACUCUACUAGACAUUUAAAUGUCAUGUAUGUGUUUCAUUUAACCCAAAACAAUCCAAGAAAUAAAGACACCACAUUGUAAUUCUUUUUAUAAAGAAGCAACAUGUAAAGAUUCGUUCUAAAUCUUUUCUAUCCUGGUCCAUUUACAUAUUGUACAUGGUUAGGAACGAUAUACAGUUUAUAGAUUUAACGAAAAUGGUAAAACAAGAAAGAAAGUUAUAUAAUAUAACCGAACUCGUUAAAUCAAUUGUUGCAUGCUGCUAUAAGAAGGGUGUUUGGUCGAGUCUUCGAGAAUAACAUGAAGGCACAUGAUUUUCCUCAUUUACAACUUUUUUUAUUAAUAAUUGAAGUUGGUUGCAAUGCAAGAUGUCUUUCAUUAUACAUUUCGGUUAAGAGAAAAUGACUAAAAUAGUAAAAUGUUAAAUAUUUUCAUAUAGUUUUGUGCCAGAUAAUCUUAAACCAAAGAAGGGAUCAAAAACUAUUUCCUGUUAUUUUUAUCAGUUUCAUAGCAUUGAUGAUUGUCUUUCGUUCUUCCACGUGGGGGCAUGCCAAGAAAAGUGGACCAAAGACCAUAAAAAGGAAGAUAAAGAAAAAGGCAAAUAAAAAUGAGAAAAGAAUACAUUGGGAGAUGUUAUUAUAGAAUUAUAAUGCACAUCAUCCUGAUAAAAAAAAUGAAAUUGUAGAUUACCAAAAAAAAAGAAUGAAAUUGUAACCAGAAUAUUCGUGGAUUCUUUCAUGCAUGCAUAUAUAAUUUGUUGUUUCGUGAUCCACUUUCUUCGUGUAGAUUAUCAUUACAUAUACCAUUUAGAUGUACGAUUGUUUUUUCAAGAUAAUAGAAAACGAAACUAAUUAUAAAAAUAUUCGCACAAGUCAUUUGAUUUUAAAUGUGCCUAUUGUCGGAGGUACCAAGACAUCAAGCUACAAAGUUUAAACAGCUAACAACGAUAAAAUGGUAGCUUAUGUACAAUGAGUAUGACUAUGAUACUAUAUGUUUAAAUCAAAUCUCAUAGAGCAUAAGACUUUUCUCCAUAUGCGUUUUGAAUAUGACGGCAAAGUCCAUCCAUCAACGUUAAGAGUUAAAUGCAACUUCUUAUAAUGAAUAUCCAUUCGAUUGUUGCUGUCCUUUGAUACGAAUACAAUAGGAAUACCAUCCAACAUUUCAAUGAAGUGAUCACUACAAAAAAAAAAAAUCACUUUGAAUCUAUUUGAUUCAUUUGAAUUCUCGCUUUAACUACUAUCACUGCUCCACAAAAAAUUGGCCGACGUGUAUAGUAGACACAUAUAAGUAAACAGAAUAUAGACUCUAUUCACAACACCUUCUUGCACAAGUAGGACAUGAUGAGACCCACAACGAGAGAAAACAAUAAUCAUAUCAAAUUAAAAGAAAGAAAAGAGAAAGGCAUGUGGCCUUUAUAGGAGUCAAUGGUUUGCCUUUUGCCCUUUUUUCUUUCUUCAUGUUCACAUUUUCCUCUACUUUGGUACUUUGUAAAAAAAUUAUAUGAUUUGUUUUAUUUCUCCACACUAAUUUCCAAAGUUCUGAUACAAUGAGUGACUGAUGAUGGUAAGGACGACGAACUUUCUUCUUCGAUGAACAAAACAUUUUAUAUCCAAUAUGAAGACAUUAAUUUUUAUACGGAGACGUAACCCAAUUGACGGUUUGGUUGAAUCUUCCUCCCAGACCAGACGAUUUCAUUGACUUGGCAUAUAUGAGUCAAUGAUUCAGUUUUUUUUGUUUUGUUCCAUCUGAGUUUCAGUCUAGGUUGCAUAGAAUUACAGUGAAAACAUGAAUGUGUGUAUAUAUGUGGUGUCAUCAAAUACAUAAUUUACAUUAACAAAACAUCAUAAACGAUGCGAAUAUAACAUUGAGAAAUAUGUUGCUCCAUCUAAUUAUAUAAUAAGAUUUUUACUAAACUAACCAUAGAUUCAUUAUUAAUAUUCUUUAUUAUUUCCUUAAAUAAAAUAAAAAUUACGGAAUUGUCUAAUGUUGCUAAAAAAAUAUAUAUAUAUAUAUACACGAUAAUUAAUGAUUUUGAAUAAUAAAGAUUUGAUAAAAAUUAGUGUAUCUUCUAUCAUAUUUGUUUAAUUUUAAACUGUUAAAAUAAAUUAAACAACCACAUUAACCAUAUAAUAAACAAUUAGAUUUUUCUGUAUAUGUUGUAUUUUGAAUUUUAAAAAAUAACUAUAAAUUACUAAAAUUGUUAAAAGUCUCACAUUCAAAUUUUGUGAUCCAUUGGUUUAAAUUUUUUGUUAUCACAAAAUACAAAUGAUUACAAAAUCAUAUAAGUAAAAGGUAUAAUUUAUUAAUUAUUAAGAUUAAAAAAAAAUAUAUAUAUAUAUCAUUUUAAAUUGAACUAUAUACCAUAUAAAAUACAUAAAUAUUUUAAUUUCAAAAUUUACUUGAACAACUUUUUUUUAUAAAAGCUUUGAACAAACGUUAACAACUAAAUUUUUAAAAAAUUACUAAAACUGUUAAUCCCAUAUGAGUAGAAUGCAUCAUUUAAUAGACAUUAAUAUUAAAAAUAUAUACUAUGUAUGUUAAUAUCAUUUAAAUUUAAUUAUAUAUCCUAUCAAAUAAAAAAAAAUUAUUUGGAUUAAUAAAAUUGAUUUAUAUGUUUGCACCAAUUUAAUUAUAUAUGUAAUAGUUACUGAAUUUUAAUUAUUUAAUAUAUAUUUAUUAUUUCAUAAUAUGUAAAACCAUAUAAUACAUAAAAUAGUUUAUAUAUAUAAUAUUCAUUCCGCGCAUUGCGCGGAUCUUAAUCUAGUAUACAAUUAAAAUUUAAACUUUUUUAUGCUUAAAAGUCCUAAAAUAACAAGUAAGAUAACACUAGAUUGUGAUAAAAGAUAAUCUAUUAAUUUUAAAACUUUGUAUAACAAUAACUUCUAUAUUAAACAUGCAUGAUACUUCAAACUAGCAAAAAUAUUUUGGAACAAAAAUUAUAAUUAAUUAAGCAAAAAAAUGUUUAUUAAUAUCACAAUUCACAUAUUCGUUAGAAGAAAAGCAAUAAAAGAAAUUAAAAAAACUGAAAUAAAAUUAAACUAUCAACAAUUUUGUACGUUGGAAGAUAUAGAAAGGAAACAAUAAUCCUAUGGUAACUUUUAAACUGGAAUAUGCUUACACUUUACUUUGCCAAUGCUUACAUUUUUCUAGGUUCAACUAUAAUUCACAAAUUCGGUUUGGUUAAUCAUAUGCAUGUCCCUAUUAACCAACGAGGACUUGAAAAUAAGAUCGACACAUAAAAAAAAAACACAGAGUUAGAUUACAACGAAUAUCCGGUCACUAUUCUCAAAAAUAAAGUUUAGGGAGCAAGAGUGACACAUUUGUCAUUUUGAGAAAACAAUUCUUUUUGUUGCACAUACCAAAAAUUUAGAUAAAACAUAUUUGAGUCACAAAUUUGAAAAUGCACAUGCGUUUUAAAUAUACAGAGAAAUAUAUGAUAAAUUACAAGGUGAAAGAAAUGAUGAAGAUCUUGAUGAUACAUCAUAUCAAAUGAACAACAAUGCAUCUACUUGUACAAGAGUCUUCAACUUCCACGUAGAACCAGCUUUUAUCUAUUUACACUUUAUAUACAAGGAAUAACUAUUCCCAACUUGUAUACUCUUGGACCCGACUACAUUCUACAGUCUAUCUACAAGGUGAAAUAGAACACAAAAGCUGACGGAAUUUUUCGAUAAGACCUAUCAUGUUCAUGAUCAAUCAUCAUGAUCAUCUUCGAGGAGGAGUUUCUUAUUUACAUCCGUAUCGUACUCUAAGAUUGUACCUACCAUGUAAACAAAGCACAACUGUUAAAUUUCACUUGAACUAUAAAGAAACCACACUAACACUGCAAAGAUCAAUGGGAUAAGAAAUGAUUAAACUUAACCCCCUAAUCUCUCCUACACAUGUCUACUUAGAACCACUUUUCAUCGAAGCUAGUUGAGCCAUUCUAUAUCACCAGGAAAUUGCGAUAGCUAAGAGUUCAUAUUAAGCAGAAGAUCAAGAUACAACAUUGGUAGACAAUGAUUUCUUAUAUAAAGAAGACAUAUACAUUAACGCAAUAUCCUCAGGAAACAUGGCUGGAAAAUUCACAACUUCAAAAUGUCAGCAUAUCAAUAAAUACAUAAUGGGCCUCUCAGAAAACAUGGCUGAAAAAUUCACAACUUCAAAAUGUCACCAUAUCAACUAGAGAUGGCAAUUGGGUCUUCCCGUCCCGUCCCGUCCCGCCGUGGUCUCCAGUUCAAACGGGUCUCAGUGGGACAGGCCCGCACAAGAUGCGGUCUUGUCGGGUUCAUCAUACCUGCAUAAACCAAACAAUAUGAUCAGACAUAACUCACUUAAGUUUGGACACAGAAACAAACAUCAAAAUAUACAUCUAAACUCUUUUUCGGUUACCAAAACUAGUUUUGUCAUUAGCUCUAAACAAAUUCCCUUUCUUCAAAAAAAAACCCAUAAAGAUAAACUUGAGAUAAGUUUGGAAUCUGCAGACAAUAAAAGAUUGAUACCAUUAUCAUCAUGAUGCAUUGAUCUGAAGUUUGAGAUCAGGGUUAGAGUCAAACACUACAAGAAAACGUAGCAGUAACAACGGCGGUUUACGACGAAAUUAUUUCCUCGUAACUUUACAUGGGCUUUACAACGCAAUUACGACGAGACAUUAUUUCGUCGUAAACUCCAUGGUAAUUUACGACGAAAGGAUUUCGUCGUAAAGUCAAUGUAAGUUUACGACGAAAGUACGUGGAAUGCGAAAUAGUUGUAAACGUUACAUCGACAUUACAACGAAUCAUGUUACCGUUAUAUAAAGGUGAAAACGUGCAUUCAAUGUGCUUUAACUUACCUAAAUUCGUUGUAAAGUCGUUGUAAAUGUUCCAUGUAAAAUCCAUGUAAAACUUUUCUUGUAAAAUCAUUGUUAUAUUUCUCUAUAUAUAUAUGUCAUUUCCCACAACUCUCUUCUUCACAACACACAACUCUCUUCCUCUCGAACCUGAUGGCGUUUAGACUAUGUUCCUCAUUCAGCCACCAAUUACUAUUUCGAAGAUGACGAUAAGGAACAUGAGUCAUUCGUCUGUCUGCCAAUUCAGUGGAGCGACAAGGAGAAGUGGACGGAAGUGCAGUUGGUUUAUACUUGAAAGGAACCUCCAACCAUCGUCAAAGGUUCCUCUCAAGUACAAACCAGCUGCACUUCCGUCCACUUUCUCCUUGUCAUUCCACUGAAUUGGCAGACAGACGAACGACACAGGUUCCUUAUCGUCGUCUUAGAAAUAGUAACUGGUGGCUUAACAACGCAAUUACGACGAAACCAACGAAACCAAAUUUCGUCGUAAACGCCAUGUAAUAUUACGACGCAAGUACGUCGAAAAGUAAACUUUACAUCGACAUUACAACGAAUCAUGUUACCGUUAUAUUUAGGUGAAAACGUGUAUUCAAUGUGCUUUAACUUACCUAAUUUCGUCGUAAAUUCGUUGUAAAUAAUAUGUUAAAACCAUGUAAAAUCCAUGUAAAAUAUUCCUUGUAAAAUCGUUGUUAUUUUUCAACUACCCAACUCGAAAAUUUCUCUAUAUAUAUGUCAUUUCCCACAACUCUCUUCCUCACAACACACAAACGGGAGAAAAAAAAUCCGAAAAAAAAUCAGAAAAAAAAAAGAUUUGAAAAAAAAAUCUAAGAAAAAAUGGCCGGUGGCGGUAGUAUUUACGAGUUACGGAGUUGGAUGUAUUUGCACAAAGAUUCCGACGGGAGGGUGACAAACGCAUUUCUGAGCGGGCUAGAGACAUUCAUGCACCAGGCGGGCUGUACACCGAUCACACAGGAAAGCGGUAAGAUGUUCUGCCCCUGUCGGAAAUGCAAGAAUUCAAAAUUUGCACGUAGUGAAACUGUAUGGAAGCAUUUAGUAAACAGAGGAUUUACACCACAGUACUACAUUUGGUAUCAACAUGGAGAGGGUUAUGGGGGAAAUGAAGCUAGUAGUAGUAAUAAUAAUUUUGAGGAUGGUCAUCAUAGUGAAGAACCGAAUCAUUUGCAUAAUGAAUAUAAUUAUCAUCAAGAUCAUGAGCAGAUGGUAGAUCAUGAUAGGGUUCAAGAUAUGAUUAGUGAUGCAUUUUUAGAAACAACUACAACAAUAGCUGAUGGAACUGGAAAUGUAGAAGAACCUAAUUUGGAUGCAAAAAGGUUUUAUGAAAUGCUAGAUGCUGCAAAUCAACCAAUCUACACUGGUUGUAGAGAAGGUCUCUCUAAAUUGUCUCUAGCAGCUAGGAUGAUGAAUAUUAAAACGGAUCAUAAUUUACCUGAGAAUUGCAUGGAUGCAUGGGCGGAGUUGUUUAAAGAGUAUUUGCCAGAAGACAACGUGUCUGCUGAAUCUUAUUAUGAGAUUCAGAAAUUGGUUUAUAGUCUUGGGUUGCCUUCGGAGAUGAUUGAUGUUUGCAUCGACAACUGCAUGAUCUACUGGAAAGAAGAUGACAAGUUAGAAGAGUGUCGAUUCUGCAAAAAACCACGAUUCAAACCGCAAGGCCGUGGGAGGAAUAGGGUACCGUACCAAAGGAUGUGGUACCUACCAAUUACAGACAGAUUGAAAAGAUUAUAUCAAUCUGAGAGGACUGCUGCGUCGAUGAGGUGGCAUGCGGAACAUGUCCAGAGAGA